AGAGCAAGGGGAAGGAAAACCCAUCUCCUUCAAACCCUACUUCAAGAAAUCUCAAAAAUUGAAGCACUGUAAAUCAAGAAUCAGUUGCAUGAACCCAAAAACUCCCUAAUCUAAAUACAUUCUACGAAAAGGGCGUGAAGGAAGAAAGCUCGAACACGAAGAAAACGGAAAACUCACAAGAUUGAGGUAAAUUCUCAACAUGAUCUAUGCCCAUCUCACGCUUCCGACAUUGCCAACUUAAUGUGGUCUUAGUUUUGGUUUUAUGUACUUUCAACUUAUGUAGUCUUUUGAUGUCCUUGUAGUUUGGGCAAUAACUUCGUAGUAGUAGUUUUGUUUUUGAACAAUGUAGACAAUGUCCAUUUUGGGUUUUAAAAAGGUCUUUUAUGUUGUAGUAUUUUACCGUCUAAAACAGGAAU
Molecule: long non-coding RNA, 416 nt
Organism: Helianthus annuus (common sunflower)
Lineage: Eukaryota; Viridiplantae; Streptophyta; Magnoliopsida; Asterales; Asteraceae
Exons: 3
Source: RefSeq, a predicted model, not a curated record